This 140-nucleotide small nucleolar RNA is filed under the name Myotis davidii. RNAcentral describes it as "Small Cajal body specific RNA 24". It matches the Rfam family "Small Cajal body specific RNA 24". From Rfam's summary of the family: scaRNAs are a specific class of small nuclear RNAs which localise to the Cajal bodies and guide the modification of RNA polymerase II transcribed spliceosomal RNAs U1, U2, U4, U5 and U12. Lineage: Eukaryota; Metazoa; Chordata; Mammalia; Chiroptera; Vespertilionidae. The record is from Rfam by way of RNAcentral.
UGUACAUUCAGUAGUUGUAAUACAAAGAUAGUUUCCCUUAAAAAUUGUUCUCUCUUUUGUAAAUGUCCUAGAGAAAUAUAGUGGUUUUCUGUUCACACUUUGCAAAGUAAAAAGGGUGGAUCGUUCCACUGCUGACAUAU